Molecule: transfer RNA, 81 nt
Filed under: Helianthus annuus (common sunflower)
Lineage: Eukaryota; Viridiplantae; Streptophyta; Magnoliopsida; Asterales; Asteraceae
Description: tRNA-Phe
Rfam family: tRNA
About the family: Transfer RNA (tRNA) molecules are approximately 80 nucleotides in length. Their secondary structure includes four short double-helical elements and three loops (D, anti-codon, and T loops).
Source: RNAcentral
GUGGUUCAGGUAGCUCAGCUGAUUAGAGCAAAGGACUGAAAAUCCUUGUGUCAGUGGUUCGAAUCCACUUCUAAGCGGGCC